AUUGAACGCUGGCGGCAUGCCUUACACAUGCAAAUCGAACGGUAACGGGCCUUCGGGUGCCGACGAGUGGCGAACGGGUGAGUAAUGCAUCGGAACGUGCCCGAUCGUGGGGGAUAACGAGGCGAAAGCUUUGCUAAUACCGCAUACGAUCUACGGAUGAAAGCAGGGGACCGCAAGGCCUUGCGCGGACGGAGCGGCCGAUGGCAGAUUAGGUAGUUGGUGGGAUAAAAGCUUACCAAGCCGACGAUCUGUAGCUGGUCUGAGAGGAUGAUCAGCCACACUGGGACUGAGACACGGCCCAGACUCCUACGGGAGGCAGCAGUGGGGAAUUUUGGACAAUGGGCGCAAGCCUGAUCCAGCCAUGCCGCGUGCAGGAUGAAGGCCUUCGGGUUGUAAACUGAUUUUGUACGGAACGAAAAGCCUUCUUUUAAUACAGGAGGGUCAUGACGGUACCGUAAGAAUAAGCACCGGCUAACUACGUG
RNAcentral lists this ribosomal RNA (482 nucleotides) under uncultured bacterium. RNAcentral's name for it is "partial 16S ribosomal RNA". It matches the Rfam family "Bacterial small subunit ribosomal RNA", at positions 30 to 507 of the family's 1533-position model. The record is from RNAcentral.